Molecule: ribosomal RNA, 253 nt
Filed under: uncultured bacterium
Lineage: Bacteria
Description: partial 16S ribosomal RNA
Rfam family: Bacterial small subunit ribosomal RNA
Source: RNAcentral
UACGUAGGGGGCAAGCGUUGUCCGGAAUCAUUGGGCGUAAAGAGCGUGUAGGCGGCCCGAUAAGUCCGCCGUGAAAGUCCAGGGCUCAACCCUGGAAUGCCGGUGGAAACUGUCGGGCUGGAGUCCGGAAGAGGCGAGUGGAAUUCCUGGUGUAGCGGUGAAAUGCGCAGAUAUCAGGAGGAACACCAAUGGCGAAGGCAGCUCGCUGGGACGGUACUGACGCUGAGAGACGAAAGCUAGGGGAGCGAAUGGG